This 468-nucleotide ribosomal RNA is filed under the name uncultured bacterium. RNAcentral's name for it is "partial 16S ribosomal RNA". It matches the Rfam family "Bacterial small subunit ribosomal RNA", at positions 28 to 507 of the family's 1533-position model. The record is from RNAcentral.
GACGAACGCUGGCGGCGUGCUUAACACAUGCAAGUCGAACGGAAAGGCCCUGCUUUUGUGGGGUGCUCGAGUGGCGAACGGGUGAGUAACACGUGAGUAACCUGCCCUUGACUUUGGGAUAACUUCAGGAAACUGGGGCUAAUACCGGAUAGGAGCUCCUGCUGCAUGGUGGGGGUUGGAAAGUUUCGGCGGUUGGGGAUGGACUCGCGGCUUAUCAGCUUGUUGGUGGGGUAGUGGCUUACCAAGGCUUUGACGGGUAGCCGGCCUGAGAGGGUGACCGGCCACAUUGGGACUGAGAUACGGCCAAGACGCCUACGGGAGGCAGCAGUGGUGAAUAGUGCACAAUGGGCGGAAGCCUGAUGCGGCAACGCCGCGUGCGGGAUGACGGCCUUCGGGUUGUAAACCGCUUUCGCCUUGGACGAAGCGUGAGUGACGGUAAUGGGUAAAGAAGCACCGGCUAACUACGUG